AUACGUAGGUGACAAGCGUUAUCCGGAUUUACUGGGCGUAAAGGGCGUGUAGGCGGUCUUGCAAGGCAGAAGUGAAAUUCCUGAGCUCAACUCGGGCGCUGCUUCUGAAACUGCAGGACUUGAGUGCUGGAGGGGAUAGCGGAAUUCCUAGUGGAGCGGUAAAAUGCGCAGAUAUUAGGAAGAACACCGGUGGCGAAGGCGGCUAUCUGGACAGUAACUGACGCUGAGGCGCGAAAGCGUGGGGAGCAAACAGGAUUAGAUCCCCUGGUAGUCCACGCCGUAAACGAUGAAUACUAGGUGUAGGGGGUAUCGACUCCCUCUGUGCCGCAGUUAACACAAUAAGUAUUCCGCCUGGGGAGUACGGCCGCAAGGUUGAAACUCAAAUGAAUUGACGGGG
RNAcentral lists this ribosomal RNA (397 nucleotides) under uncultured bacterium. RNAcentral describes it as "partial 16S ribosomal RNA". It matches the Rfam family "Bacterial small subunit ribosomal RNA", at positions 523 to 918 of the family's 1533-position model. The record is from RNAcentral.